This 465-nucleotide ribosomal RNA is filed under the name Vreelandella stevensii. RNAcentral's name for it is "partial 16S ribosomal RNA". It matches the Rfam family "Bacterial small subunit ribosomal RNA", at positions 338 to 795 of the family's 1533-position model. Lineage: Bacteria; Pseudomonadati; Pseudomonadota; Gammaproteobacteria; Oceanospirillales; Halomonadaceae. The record is from RNAcentral.
CCUACGGGUGGCAGCAGUGGGGAAUAUUGGACAAUGGGCGAAAGCCUGAUCCAGCCAUGCCGCGUGUGUGAAGAAGGCCUUCGGGUUGUAAAGCACUUUCAGUGGGGAAGAAAGCCUUGGGGCUAAUACCCUCGAGGAAGGACAUCACCCACAGAAGAAGCACCGGCUAACUCCGUGCCAGCAGCCGCGGUAAUACGGAGGGUGUGAGCGUUAAUCGGAAUUACUGGGCGUAAAGCGCGCGUAGGCGGUCUGAUAAGCCGGUUGUGAAAGCCCCGGGCUCAACCUGGGAACGGCAUCCGGAACUGUCAGGCUAGAGUGCAGGAGAGGAAGGUAGAAUUCCCGGUGUAGCGGUGAAAUGCGUAGAGAUCGGGAGGAAUACCAGUGGCGAAGGCGGCCUUCUGGACUGACACUGACGCUGAGGUGCGAAAGCGUGGGUAGCAAACAGGAUUAGAUACCCUUGUAGGC